UAUGUGAUCGUCUCUCGCAUAUCAAUAAGCGGAGGAAAAGAAACUAACAAGGAUUCCCCUAGUAACGGCGAGUGAAGCGGGAAGAGCUCAAAUUUGAAAUCUUAAAGGGUUUCCCUUUACGAAUUGUAGUUUAAAGAAGUGUUUUCUGUUGAGGUUUUGGUAAAAGUUCUUUGGAAUAGGACAUCAUAGAGGGUGAGAGUCCCGUAUUUGACCUUUACUUUCAACUUUGUGAUACACUUUCAAAGAGUCGGAUUGUUUGGGAAUGCAGUCCAAAAUGGGUGGUAAAUUUCAUCUAAAGCUAAAUAUUGGCGAGAGACCGAUAGCGAACAAGUACCGUGAGGGAAAGAUGAAAAGAACUUUGAAAAGAGAGUUAAACAGUACGUGAAAUUGUCAAAAGGGGAAGCGUUUGACACCAGUGUUGUUUUUCUGAAAAUCAAUUAAAGAACUGUUUAUGCUAAGUUGUUUAGACUUUAUCAGCUAUCUGUUUAGAUUUGAGCUUUUCUUUAAUGCACUUUUCAGUUAACAAGUCAACAUCAAUUUCUUUUGCUGUAAAAAAGCUUGAGGAAGGUGGCUUGAGAUUCGUCUUAAGUGUUUAUAGCCUCUUGCCUAUGCAGUCGGAGAGAUUGAGGUCUGCAGCGUAGAUCCUUCGGGGCUAAAUGCAUUUGUGCUAAGUUAUAGCAUUUUAUAGACAACUUGUUGACUAUGAUUUGUCUUGUAGCUUACUCGCUUAUGUUAUUUUACCUACGCUUAGGAUGUUGAUAUCGCGCUCUCACUG
RNAcentral lists this ribosomal RNA (775 nucleotides) under uncultured Neocallimastigales. Its description in RNAcentral is "partial large subunit ribosomal RNA". It matches the Rfam family "Eukaryotic large subunit ribosomal RNA", at positions 24 to 643 of the family's 3401-position model. The record is from RNAcentral. Lineage: Eukaryota; Fungi; Neocallimastigomycota; Neocallimastigomycetes; Neocallimastigales.